Molecule: ribosomal RNA, 837 nt
Filed under: Triticum aestivum (bread wheat)
Lineage: Eukaryota; Viridiplantae; Streptophyta; Magnoliopsida; Poales; Poaceae
Description: partial small subunit ribosomal RNA
Source: RNAcentral
AUGAGCUUUUGCCGCCUAGAACCCCGGGACAAUGGCGUCUUCGUCCUCACAUUGGCCAGCGCCGAUGAGCACAACUACCUGACCGACGAAGCCAUCACGGAGCUUGCCGAGGAGCUCGAGAAAGUCCGGAACAGCCCGGAGGUGAAAGGAUUGGUAACGACCUGCGAAGUCGGCACAUUCUGCGCCGGCCUGGACUACGACCACCACGCGGAGUCGGAGGAGCAGGCGGAGAACCUGGCGAAACGCGUCGCCAAGGUGAUCCGGCUGCUGCUGGAGCUCCCAGUGCCAACCGUGGCGGCCGUGCGCGGUGACGCGAGGUCGGUGGGCCUCGCGCUGGUGCUCGCGCACGACCACCUCUUCGUAUGGGACCAGGCCGUGUUAGGCCUCCCAGAGGCGCAGCGUGGGCGACCGCUGCCGGACUAUGUGCCGACGCUCCUGCGUGACAAGCUGUCGCACGCGCGGCUGCGGAAGCUGCUCAUGCUCAACUCGCAGACGUGCACCGGCAAGGAGCUCACCGGCACGUGGUUGUCCACGGACGGCGCAGACGGCAACAGGCAGGUGGUUCUGGACAAAGCCAUCGACCUGCUACACGAUCUCCAGGUCGGUGAUGGGGCUAAUUUCGCCAAGGCGAGGCAGAUGCUGUGCGCGGAGACCUGCGCCGCAGUGGGAAUCACUCAUGCAGAGCUAGGGAGCCAUAAAGCAGCGGAUCCAUCUUGGACAUUGUUUAGAACAAAAAUGGAUGACCUAGUUCUCAAAGAAGAAGAAGAAGAAGAAGAAGAAGAAGAAGAACAAGAACAACGGUCAUACUCUACGCGUAGCUGUUCUAUGGGAUCUUGA